AUGCUUGUCUCAAAGAUUAAGCCAUGCAUGUCUAAGUAUAAGCAAUAUACCGUGAAACUGCGAAUGGCUCAUUAUAUCAGUUAUAGUUUACUUGAUAGUCAAAUCUACUUGGAUAACCGUAGUAAUUCUAGAGCUAAUACAUGCGUAAACUCCUGACCGUUUGGAAAGGACGUAUUUGUUAGAUACAACCAACCCCUUCGGGGUCUUUGGCGAAUCAUAACAACUGAGCGAACCGAACACCUUCGGGUGCCGGUGGUUCAUUCAAGUUUCUGCCCUAUCAGCUUUCGAUGGUAGGGUAUUGGCCUACCAUGGCGUCAACGGGUAACGGGGAAUG
Molecule: ribosomal RNA, 334 nt
Filed under: uncultured fungus
Lineage: Eukaryota; Fungi
Description: bacterial SSU rRNA
Rfam family: Eukaryotic small subunit ribosomal RNA
Source: RNAcentral